RNAcentral lists this ribosomal RNA (468 nucleotides) under uncultured bacterium. RNAcentral describes it as "partial 16S ribosomal RNA". It matches the Rfam family "Bacterial small subunit ribosomal RNA", at positions 28 to 507 of the family's 1533-position model. The record is from RNAcentral.
GACGAACGCUGGCGGCGUGCUUGACACAUGCAAGUCGAACGGAAAGGCCCUGCUUUUGUGGGGUGCUCGAGUGGCGAACGGGUGAGUAACACGUGAGUAACCUGCCCUUGACUUUGGGAUAACUUCAGGAAACUGGGGCUAAUACCGGAUAGGAGCUCCUGCUGCAUGGUGGGGGUUGGAAAGUUUCGGCGGUUGGGGAUGGACUCGCGGCUUAUCAGCUUGUUGGUGGGGUAGUGGCUUACCAAGGCUUUGACGGGUAGCCGGCCUGAGAGGGUGACCGGCCACAUUGGGACUGAGAUACGGCCCAGACUCCUACGGGAGGCAACAGUGGGGAAUAUUGCACAAUGGGCGGAAGCCUGAUGCAGCAACGCCGCGUGCGGGAUGACGGCCUUCGGGUUGUAAACCGCUUUCGCCUGUGACGAAGCGUGAGUGACGGUAAUGGGUAAAGAAGCACCGGCUAACUACGUG